GAUAGCAAUUAAGACCAUUUUAGAACAGAUACAAGUAGGGAUUUCACUUGAUUAUUUGCCAGGUGGCAGUAAGGAUUAGAAAUGGUGUGAUUUCUGCAGUACUGUUGUACAAACUCUAUAUUUAAAGGAUUUGGUGUUUCUUGUUAUGUGUCCUGUGUGAUAGAUGAAGGUGUUAUCAUAAUGUAUGGUAGAUUAGUUUGAAAAGCAGCUAUUAUUGGAGUCAAAGGCAAAAAGUGACUUUUGAAUAGUUCCCUAAUAAAGUCACGUAAUUGCUGCUUCUGUUUUCUAUCAGUCAUGGUGCUCCUUUUCUCUGCCAGGGCCAGACACCAUUUGAUGUGGCUGAUGAGGGUCUCGUGGAGCAUUUGGAGUUGCUCCAGAAGAAGCAGAAUGUGCUUCGAAGUGAAAAGGAGACACGGAAUAAACUCAUUGAGUCAGAUCUGAACAGCAAGAUUCAGAGUGGGUUCUUUAAGAACAAAGAGAAGAUGCUCUAUGAGGAGGAGACACCUAAGUCCCAAGAAAUGGAGGAAGAAAAUAAAGAAUCUAGUAGCUCCAGCUCAGAGGAGGAGGAAGGUGAAGAUGAAGCUUCUGAGUCAGAAACUGAGAAGGAGGCAGAUAAAAAGCCAGAAGCCUUUGUCAAUCAUUCCAACUCUGAAAGCAAGAGUAGUAUCACAGAGCAGAUACCAGCACCAGCUCAAAAUACCUUCUCUGCCUCUUCUGCUAGGAGG
This 725-nucleotide small RNA is filed under the name Pan troglodytes (chimpanzee). RNAcentral describes it as "retained intron". The record is from RNAcentral. Lineage: Eukaryota; Metazoa; Chordata; Mammalia; Primates; Hominidae.